UACGGAGGGUGCAAGCGUUAUCCGGAUUCACUGGGUUUAAAGGGUGCGUAGGCGGACAGGUAAGUCAGUGGUGAAAUCUCCGAGCUUAACUCGGAAACUGCCGUUGAUACUAUUUGUCUUGAAUAUUGUGGAGGUAAGCGGAAUAUGUCAUGUAGCGGUGAAAUGCUUAGAUAUGACAUAGAACACCAAUUGCGAAGGCAGCUUACUACACAACAAUUGACGCUGAGGCACGAAAGCGUGGGGAUCAAACAGG
This 253-nucleotide ribosomal RNA is filed under the name uncultured bacterium. RNAcentral describes it as "partial 16S ribosomal RNA". It matches the Rfam family "Bacterial small subunit ribosomal RNA", at positions 524 to 776 of the family's 1533-position model. The record is from RNAcentral. RNAcentral also lists the same sequence under 1 other name.